Molecule: long non-coding RNA, 279 nt
Filed under: Elaeis guineensis (African oil palm)
Lineage: Eukaryota; Viridiplantae; Streptophyta; Magnoliopsida; Arecales; Arecaceae
Description: long non-coding RNA (EGUI_LNC003554)
Source: RNAcentral
GCACGGAGAGACCGAAACCCUUCGAAAUUUCGUGGCCCGAUUCAAUGCAGCCAUACUUGAGGUCAGGGACCUCAACGAAGACAUGACCAUAUUGGUCAUGAAAAGAGGUCUGAGGGGUCUCGAUUCACGUACUCUUUGGACAAGACCCUCCCCCGAACUUAUGCCGAACUUUUGGAGCAUGCCUACAAGCAUAUGCGCACGAACGAAGGAGCUUCUGACCAACGUCAAACAGAAGGUAAGGGUCAGAAGAUGAAGAAACAAAAGAAGGGAGAAGCUUCG